Molecule: ribosomal RNA, 253 nt
Filed under: uncultured bacterium
Lineage: Bacteria
Description: partial 16S ribosomal RNA
Rfam family: Bacterial small subunit ribosomal RNA
Source: RNAcentral
UACGGAGGGUGCAAGCGUUAUCCGGAUUUAUUGGGCUUAAAGGGUCCGUAGGCGGUUCUGUAAGUCAGUGGUGAAAUCUCACAGCUUAACUGUGAAACUGCCAUUGAUACUGCAGGUCUUGAGUGUUGUUGAAGUAGCUGGAAUAAGUAGUGUAGCGGUGAAAUGCAUAGAUAUUACUUAGAACACCAAUUGCGAAGGCAGGUUACUAAGCAACAACUGACGCUGAUGGACGAAAGCGUGGGGAGCGAACAGG